GACGAACGCUGGCGGCGUGCUUAACACAUGCAAGUCGAACGAAGUGGCGAACGGGUGAGUAACGCGUAAUCAACCUGCCCUUCAGAGGGGGACAACAGUUGGAAACGACUGCUCAUACCGCAUACUGAAGGAGGGGAUUGCGUCUGAUUAGUUAGUUGGGGGGGUAACGGCCCACCAAGGCGAUGAUCAGUAGCCGGACUGGGAGGAUGAACGGCCAAAUUGGGACCGGGACACGGCCCAGAAUCCUACGGGAGGCAGCAGUGGGGAAUCUUCCGCAAUGGACGAAAGGCUGACGGGGCAACGCCGCGUGAGUGAUGACGGCCUUCGGGUUGUAAAGCUCUGUUAAUCGGGACGCGGUACCGGAAUAGAAAGCCACGGCUAACUACGUGCCAGCAGCCGCGGUAAUUC
RNAcentral lists this ribosomal RNA (408 nucleotides) under uncultured bacterium. Its description in RNAcentral is "partial 16S ribosomal RNA". It matches the Rfam family "Bacterial small subunit ribosomal RNA", at positions 28 to 526 of the family's 1533-position model. The record is from RNAcentral.